RNAcentral lists this ribosomal RNA (468 nucleotides) under uncultured bacterium. RNAcentral describes it as "partial 16S ribosomal RNA". It matches the Rfam family "Bacterial small subunit ribosomal RNA", at positions 28 to 507 of the family's 1533-position model. The record is from RNAcentral.
GACGAACGCUGGCGGCGUGCUUAACACAUGCAAGUCGAACGGAAAGGCCCUGCUUUUGUGGGGUGCUCGAGUGGCGAACGGGUGAGUAACACGUGAGUAACCUGCCCUUGACUUUGGGAUAACUUCAGGAAACUGGGGCUAAUACCGGAUAGGAGCUCCUGCUGCAUGGUGGGGGUUGGAAAGUUUCGGCGGUUGGGGAUGGACUCGCGGCUUAUCAGCUUGUUGGUGGGGUAGUGGCUUACCAAGGCUUUGACGGGUAGCCGGCCUGAGAGGGUGACCGGCCACAUUGGGACUGAGAUACGGCCCAGACUCCUACGGGAGGCAGCAGUGGGGAAUAUUGCAAAAUGGGCGGAAGCCUGAUGCAGAAACGCCGCGUGCGGGAUGACGGCCUUCGGGUUGUAAACCGCUUUCGCCUGUGACGAAGCGUGAGUGACGGUAAUGGGUAAAGAAGCACCGGCUAACUACGUG